AAAAAAACGAAAUUCCAAAAAAAUAAAUAAAUAAAUAAAUUUCGCAUCCCUUUCUUGCCAUCUCCUUCUUUCCUCUUCAAUCUCAGGAGUCUUGUCUUUUCGAUCCUCUUCAAUUUGCUCCGCGACUGAAGCUGAAGAAACGAUGACGACAGGGCGUAUCCAAUUUCCUCCUUUAAUUCAGUGCCAUUCCCAUUCUUCAUUUUGAAUGUCCUGGCUGAUUUUUUUUUUUUUAAUUUUUUACAAACCCAUGGCUUCUCGGUUGUGAGCGACAGCCGCAAAGAAAAUCGAACUGGAGGCUGUGAGGUGGCAAACCCUGUCGUUGACCGACGCAGCCGCCUCCAGAAUUCGUCACCUUCUUCAACAGCGCCAAAGACCUUUCCUUCGAUUGGGUGUCAAGGCUCGCUGAUGCAACGGCUUAUCCUAUACCCUCAAUAACGCCGAUAGAUGAGAAAGGAAAUUUUGAUGAAUUGGUUGAGGACAAGGGCGUGAAAAUACUAAUUGAUCCAAAAGGUUUGAUGCAUGUAAUUGGGAGCAAGAUGGAUUUUAUAGAUGAUAAACUCAUGUCUUGAGUUCGUUUUUAUCAAUCCACACUCUAAAAGGCAGUGUGGAUGUGGCGAGUCUUUCAUGACAACAUCUUGUAGUAGUGGUGGAGCUGCUAAACAAGGUGUUACAUGGGAUUUCAAAGACCUUGUAAUAAGAUAGGUAUUGAACUAACCUACUUGAUUCGAGGGAGCUCCUUAAUUCACCACUCAAAUAAACUAAGAGGAAACAUUUAUCCGCAAACCAGGUGAACUUUUAUAGCAAUUUUUGCCAGCUGAUUUUAUGAGUAGAAGUGGAGUACGGUAUACUCCACAUAUUGCUGUAUCGCUGAUGCGAGUUUGGCGUCUGAAAAUCAUUUCUAUACUACAUUUUACAUAAGUUCUUUUGAAAUAAUAAAUGUUGCUGCACCCUUCAUAUUACAGCUAACUCGUGCUUUUUGUUCAUUGACCCUUUGGAAAUGAUGGCACUUAACAUCAUUUCAUGAAUGCUUUAUAGUUACAACAUUAUAUAUAUUUGGAUCAAUCAAUGAAAUGUUUGUCUACAUUUGCAAUUUGCGGAGUAAUAGCACAUAGAAGUCGGGAAUACCUCCAAUUAAGGUGUUUUCAAGGCUGUUUGAGUGAAUAGACUGUUGUUUGACCUUUUUACCUCAAGGUCCUUUCUUUUUUAUGCCAAGUGCGAAUGCUUUUUUUCUGAUCUCAAGGCUGUUCAAUUAUGAAAUCUCCGUAUGGUUUCAUUGUCAAAACCUGAAUAUGGAGAUCAACAUUGUUGAUGAAACAAUUUUUCACCCUUAGAAUACAUUGAGCGAAAUUUAAGACAGAUAAUACAGAAACAAUGACAUACCUAUGUCUGAGAAGCAGACCUGUAUAAAAAGUACAGCAUAAUUAUUUCAGACUUCAGAAUUUGAUUAUUUAUAAAA
Durio zibethinus is the source of this 1456-nucleotide long non-coding RNA. RefSeq lists it as uncharacterized. The record is from RefSeq and is a predicted model, not a curated record. NCBI's taxonomy places the organism in Eukaryota, Viridiplantae, Streptophyta, Magnoliopsida, Malvales, Malvaceae.